MicroRNA precursor from Oryza rufipogon (brownbeard rice), 203 nucleotides. It matches the Rfam family "MIR812 microRNA precursor family". Lineage: Eukaryota; Viridiplantae; Streptophyta; Magnoliopsida; Poales; Poaceae. The record is from Rfam.
CUAUAGUAAGCUACUGAGUUUCCGUGGCUAACUUUGAUCAUCCGUCUUAUUUAAAAUUUUUUAAAAAAAAAUUAAAAACAUAAGUCACGUAUAAAGUACUAUUCAUGUUUUAUCAUCUUAUAAUAACAAAAAUACUAAUUAAAAAAAAUUUAAAUAAGACGAACAAUUAAAGUUGGGUGUAGAAACUUAUGGUUGCAUUUAAA